RNAcentral lists this non-coding RNA (164 nucleotides) under uncultured Roseburia sp. The record is from RNAcentral. Lineage: Bacteria; Bacillati; Bacillota; Clostridia; Lachnospirales; Lachnospiraceae.
UUGGAAGCAAAUUAGAAAUUCUUAAUGUACCUGUUUAUGGUACAGCAAUAUACUGACAUGGAUGUCAGUAUAAGUCCUAAUGAGCCCGGAUGGCUCAUUUAGGACGGUUGCGUCAAAAGUUUAUUAUUAAGGAAAGGUACAUUUAGAAGUUCUUAUUUGCGGAC